GGGCUAGCCAUGCAAGUCAUUACUCAAGGUCCCAGGUGGGUUUGUUCUGCCUACACUGAAGACCAUGCUGCCAUGGCCUCACUUCUCUGCUAUCGAAGCCAGCUAACCUAGAGAAGGGAGAAGAAUGGAUAGUGUGAAUCCCUGUGGGAAGCAUUUGAAGGACUUUGAAACCUACCAGAUUCCCUCUGUGGAAGGCUGAUGACUUCUGGAUAACAACCUUUAUAAACAGGAGGAAAGAAUGAAGAAAGUCCUGAGGGUGAUGCGUCUCUAAAGAGAAGGAGAAUCUGCACCUUCUGCGAUGCCACCCAGAACAGCCUUGCUGUCCAUGUGUGCCUACCAGCUUUGGUUUCCUCCUUCUGGCUAGCAUUCUUCCCCUAAUCUGAAUUCAGAUUAUUCCUAUUACCACUCCAGUCUGACAAUUAUAUAAUACUGAUUUUAAAAAAGAAAACUCUGGAAGUUAAUGUAGCAUGACAAAUAACUGAAAACCUAACAUGAAAGCAUAAAAUAAAAUCGGUCUCCCAACAUCAAUUCUAUCCUUGUGUUCUGACACCCAAGUAUUCGUCUCACCCACCUCCAUCUAUACUGAAUGCAUCAUUCUAUCUAUAC
Long non-coding RNA from Mauremys mutica (yellowpond turtle), 606 nucleotides. RefSeq lists it as uncharacterized. The transcript has 3 exons. The record is from RefSeq and is a predicted model, not a curated record. Lineage: Eukaryota; Metazoa; Chordata; Testudines; Geoemydidae.